This 259-nucleotide ribosomal RNA is filed under the name uncultured archaeon. RNAcentral's name for it is "partial 16S ribosomal RNA". It matches the Rfam family "Archaeal small subunit ribosomal RNA", at positions 478 to 737 of the family's 1478-position model. The record is from RNAcentral.
AGCUCUCCGAGUGGUAGGGGUGAUUAUUGGGCUUAAAGCGUCCGUAGCCGGCCUGGCAAGUCUUCCGUUAAAUCCAGCGACUUAAUUGUUGGGCUGCGGGAGAUACUGUUAGGCUAGGGGGCGGGAGAGGCCGACGGUAUUCUCGGGGUAGGGGUGAAAUCUUAUAAUCCCGGGAGGACCACCAGUGGCGAAGGCUGUCGGCUAGCACGCGCCUGACGGUGAGGGACGAAAGCUGGGGGAGCGAACCGGAUUAGAUACC